UUUAUUGCGGCGCGUAACGAUCCAAGGAAACAAAAUAUUUUAUAUUAUUAAAUUCGCAACGAGACUGAAUAUGAAAGAGUUAUGAAUAUUUACGUGAUAGCAACGAUCUGUAUUAUGUACGGGGUUUCUGCUGACUUUCAAAUGCUUGGUAUGAUGUCUGUGGAAAUUGUAGCUGGAAAUGUGUAUAAUGAAGAUGCCAACAGUAUUUUAAAGAAUAAUUAUGAAGGAUCGAAUCAUUCUAAGCCGGUGUAUCGUGUUGAAGCUGGAGAUGAUGGUAAAGAGACGCUUACGAUAGAUGUGGAAUGUAUGUUCAAGUAUCCUGAAGAGAAACACUUGGACGCGUUACUCAGUGCUAUAUUGAAUCUAUUGACUAAGAUGUUUGUCCGUGUAUACGAAUCACAGGAGGAGGUUCAACGAACUGCUACUAGAUUCCGCGUCGUACAAAAGAUUGACUCUCCAUACUUUGAUCAAGCUUACACACGCUUGUCUGAGGAAUUGAGAUUACUCUACAACACCACGUUAAUGUCCCUCAAUACAAGAGGUAACCCUUGCCAGCAUCAAGACGACAUCAAAUCACUUUGGAGAGAUAUACUGCAGCGUUCAGAACAGAAACUGCAAGAUGCUGUACAGAACUGUACUGAAGAGCUCUUACACGCUAGAGGAAAAGACUCCAGGCUGAACAAAGAAACAAAUACUUUCAACGAACUAUCCAACGUACGUAUAUUCAUCAUCAUCAUAAUCAUCAGCCGGAAGACGUCCACUACUGAACAAAGGCGUCCACUACAAAACGCGGGAAACGUUAUACGCCCAAAUCAAUCAAUGAAACCAGCACAGUUCACCUGUUCUUCAUAAAACCCGCCGAUACCAUAACUGUUGAACCUGUAUAAAGUAUGGGUGAACUUCCUGAAUGGACCUGAGCCUUUCAGUAUUUCGGAGCCGACGGUACACUCGCACCCUUCUUGUAUCAGGCUUAAACCCGAAUCGCGACUCAUCGGAAAACAUAAUUUUAUCCCAUUAUUCCAGGAUCCAUAUUCUGCAUUCUCUACACCAUUCAUUUUGACGAGCGCGAUUCCCGUGACGUACCGGUAGGCACCUAAUUGGGCAUCGAGCUCGAAGGCCGUACUCAUGCAGGCGAUUUCGCACAGUUUGGGAACUUACAUCAACACCACUUGCAUU
This is a long non-coding RNA of Leptidea sinapis, 1176 nucleotides long. RefSeq lists it as uncharacterized. The transcript has 5 exons. The record is from RefSeq and is a predicted model, not a curated record. NCBI's taxonomy places the organism in Eukaryota, Metazoa, Arthropoda, Insecta, Lepidoptera, Pieridae.